CAAUAUAUAGAUGACGUGAUAUUGUUCAUUCAUCACUGGAAACAGAAAUAUGAACAUCGUUGGUUUACUGGGAUUUUUUCUGCUUUUUGAGUCAUUACUUUGUAGUUCUGACAACAAAAUAUUCAAAGGCAUCGUAACUUUGAGUUACAAAUGAUCGUUUAAGAGGAAGUACAAACACGUUCUGGAUUGGUUCCACAAGGAAGGACUUUAUUAUAUACCACAGUUGAAUGUUACAGAAGCGAACAAGAUACCAGAACUUAUAUUGUACAAUAAAAAUGACAUGGAAAUUUUUAGAAUACCAUUAGACAAAACGACCUAUGAAAAAUUAGAUAACCUGAUUAAAGAUUUAGGAUUUUACCGCCAAACAAAAUUCAGUGACAAACUUCCACAUGAAUAUGAAAACGGACCAGUUCCUCCGCCAGAUGGCAUUUCUAUCGAUGAUCUCCUCGCCGGAUUCUCCCUUUGUGAACGAUAUGGAAUAACAAGUGAAUUAACUGCAGAAUACUCUUGUGGAAAAUAAAUCCCCGUAUAAUAACUACAAAAGAAAUUUUGCAGCUUGAUACUCAAUGAUAUGUUUAUUCAAACAAUCAAAUUGAAUAUAAACAUGGAUGACUGGUUUCAUGCUGUAAUUUAUCUAGACAAAUAUUAAAAAGUUAUGGUUUAAUUUUAUUUAUAAAAAUAAAAUGAAUGUUGGGCAAACAAAAUUAAAGUGUAAUAUGGUAAUAGAAAACAAAAGAUAUGGAGUAUCCAUCCAUGACACAAAAUCAGUACAUGUACAGCAAAAACAAAAGGGCAAAGGAACAGAGUUUUUAUUGCUGUUCUUAAUCUCAAAGUCACAAUGAGGCAUUCAACAUAUUAAAUAUUUUUAGUGAC
Molecule: long non-coding RNA, 873 nt
Organism: Mytilus californianus (California mussel)
Lineage: Eukaryota; Metazoa; Mollusca; Bivalvia; Mytilida; Mytilidae
Exons: 4
Source: RefSeq, a predicted model, not a curated record